UACAGAGACUGCAAGCGUUAUUCGGAUUCACUGGGCGUAAAGGGUGCGCAGGCGGCCAAGUGUGUCAGGUGUGAAAUCCCGAGGCUUAACCUCGGAACUGCGCCUGAAACUACUUGGCUAGAGUACUGGAGAGGGUAACGGAAUUCACGGUGUAGCAGUGAAAUGCGUAGAUAUCGUGAGGAACACGAGAGGCGAAGGCGGUUACCUGGACAGUUACUGACGCUCAGGCACGAAAGCGUGGGGAGCAAAAGGG
RNAcentral lists this ribosomal RNA (253 nucleotides) under uncultured bacterium. RNAcentral's name for it is "partial 16S ribosomal RNA". It matches the Rfam family "Bacterial small subunit ribosomal RNA", at positions 524 to 776 of the family's 1533-position model. The record is from RNAcentral.